AGGGGUGUAGCCAAGCGGUAAGGCAUGGGACUUUGACUCCCAGAUGCGCAGGUUCGAUCCCUGCCACCCCUG
This 72-nucleotide transfer RNA is filed under the name Candidatus Aphodomonas merdavium. Its description in RNAcentral is "tRNA-Gln". It matches the Rfam family "tRNA". From Rfam's summary of the family: Transfer RNA (tRNA) molecules are approximately 80 nucleotides in length. Their secondary structure includes four short double-helical elements and three loops (D, anti-codon, and T loops). The record is from RNAcentral. Lineage: Bacteria; Bacillati; Bacillota; Clostridia; Eubacteriales.